Molecule: ribosomal RNA, 2661 nt
Filed under: Triticum aestivum (bread wheat)
Lineage: Eukaryota; Viridiplantae; Streptophyta; Magnoliopsida; Poales; Poaceae
Description: partial small subunit ribosomal RNA
Source: RNAcentral
AUGGCAGGCGGCGUCGGCGGCCGCGGCGGCGGGCCCCGCGCCUCCUCCGACAGCAAGGCGGCGCGCGCGCCCAACCCGGCGAUCGACUCCACCAUCAAGUCCAUCAAGGAGGUCGUCGGCGGCCACUCCGAGGACGACAUCUACGACGCCCUCCGCGAGUCCAACAUGGACCCCAACGAGACGGCGCAGAGGCUCCUCAACCAAGAUCCAUUUCAUGAAGUGAAACGGAAAAGGGACAAGAAAAGAGAGAGUGUUGGUCAGAAGAACCUUGCUGAGACCACAGCACAAGGUGAGCACGGCACUCAACGGACAAAGCCACACACUCAAAGGGUUGAGAUCGAUCAAAGAAGAGCACACAAUCAUGGUCAGACAUAUGGACCAAGUCGAGAAUUUCGGGUAGUGAGGGAUAAUAGACACGGUGCGGUGGAAAAUGGAGCAGAGCAACACAAAGUUUCAACAUAUAUGCAAGCGUCUGAUAGGAGUGGAAUUUCUCUCUCUAGUGGAGUUGUAGUUCAAUCUGAUCAAAAUCGCCCUCCACCUACAACCUCGGAAGGUCAGAUCAUGCAUCAAAGUGCAAAGAGUAGCUACAACUCUGACAUGCAUCAGAUGAAGAGGGAUGCUCAGGGUACUGCUCAGAGGCAUGCAAGGCCAUAUCUGAAGAAUUCUCAGAAUGAACAUCAGUAUCCUAAUUCUGAUCUACAUCAUGCUUCAUCCAAUUACAAAGCGGCUGGAGGAUUUGUCCGAGCAAAUCGACGUGAAGCUGGAGUGGCUAAUGCUCCGAGGCAGUAUUCUGGUCGUCCAGGUUCACAGUUUCAUGGACCAAAUGAUUCUUAUCAUGCAAAUAUUCAAAGGGGGAAUUUUGCCUCAGCUGGGCCUUCUGUUCGCCGCCCGUCAUUUAUGCCUAGAAACACUCAACCCAAUCAUAGACCUGCAGUAGACACAGUAACUCGUGGCAGAUCUGUUGGUAGACCUUUUGGUAACCAAAACCACAGCAGGUAUCACCAGGGUCCUGCUAGCAACCAAAAAGUCAUACAACCAGCUAAGGAAUGGAAGCCAAAAUCGACAAAUAAGUCUUGCACCAACGACGCUGAUAACAGUGGGACAAAUGCAACAUCUCCUUUAGAUAGCAAAGCUGAAAAUGCUAAUGUGCUGGAUGUGAACAGCUCGUGUGACAAAAGUUCUCAUGCUAACGUGCAUGAGAUGGAGCAUGUGAUUAUCCCAGAGCAUCUCCGUGUGCCAGAGUAUGAGCAGACAAGAUUAAGAUUCGGCAGUUUCACUCCUGGGUUUGAUUCGCCUGAGCAUGAGCAGACAAGAAUAAGAUUCGGCAGUUUCUCUCCUGGGUUUGAUUCAGACCAAUUACCGACUUCAGCUUCUCCAGAACUGGAACAACCAGAACAUGUACAAGAACCUGUUCAACUGGUUGUCCAAGAGGAUGAGUUUGAUACUGAACAUGACGAAGUGGAUGAGCAAGUUGGAUCACAACUCACUACUAUAUCCACAUCGGCAGCAGAGAGUUCUUUACAACCAUCUGAGGAUAGUGAACAGAUGAAUGGUCAAGAAGUUGAGGAUGAUGACGGACUGGGCUUAGUUCAGAGUGAUACUCCACUUGGUGCAGCAGAUGACCAUAAUAUUCAAAGCACCUCUGGUUUGACUGCCUUUUCUGCAUAUGGUCAUGAGGAUCCUAAUAUGCAUCCCAAUAAUGAGGCACAGUUAUACGGGCUGGUUGAGCCUAAUGUGCACCAACAAGUGUUGGCUUCAUCUUCUCAGGGGUAUACUUCGGUGAAUCCAGGAGCAGAUAAUGCUGUGCAAGUAUUCAGAAUGCCAGAACCCAGUGUUCAUUCACAAGUUCUCCCUUCUGCAUCUGAGGCCCUAAGUUCACAGCUUGCGAGCAGCAGCCCUAUUGCAAUGUCUACACAACAGCAACAUAUGUCCCAGCAACAACAAGCAGCGCAGAUGUACCCUCCAAUGCACGUGCAGCAUUAUCCGAAUUUCAUGCCAUAUCGACAUCCUCUCUAUUCUCCAGUUUAUGUCCCACCCAUGGCCAUGCCAAACUAUUCAGCAAAUGUCCCUUAUCCGGCAAAUGGAAAUAAUUAUCUUCAGAUGGCCGGUGGGGGUUCACAUUUAACUGCAGGCCAAGUGAAGUAUGGAGUUUCACAAUAUAAACCAGUCCCAGCUGGUAACCCUUCUGGUUAUGGAAAUUACACUCAUCCAGCUGGUUAUACAAUUAGUUCUCCUGGUGUUAUUGGAGCUGGAGUUGGUGUUGACGAUGUCAAUAGGAUGAAGUACAAGGAUAACAACAUUUAUGCGCCAACCCCACAGGUAGAGACAUCUGAUAUCUGGAUUCAGAAUAGAGAGAUCCCAACUUUGCAGUGCCCCCCAUAUUACAACUUAUCAGGUCAAGCAACACCUGGUGCCUAUAUGCCAAAUCCUGGGAAUGCAUCUUUCAGUGCUACAGCUCAAUCCUCUCAUGCACAAUUCCCUGGCAUGUACCAUCCGCAGCAGCCUCCCUCAAUUGUAAGUCCACAUCCCAUGGUGCAUCAACAGGUCCCAUCUGCCAUUGGUCCCAAUGUUGGAGUUGGUGUAGCUGCACCAGGUCCCCAAGUGGGGGCAUAUCAACAACAGCAGCUUGGUCAUAUGAAUUGGAGACAGCCCAACUUUUAA